AUCGCUUCUCAGCCUUUUGGCUAAGAUCAAGUGUAGAAUCUGUUAUCAGUUUAAAAACAUCCUACAGUACUCAUAAAAUUAAAAUUUUAUAUACACACACACA
Heterocephalus glaber (naked mole-rat) is the source of this 103-nucleotide small nuclear RNA. Its record names the gene U2. It matches the Rfam family "U2 spliceosomal RNA". Rfam says of the family: U2 is a small nuclear RNA (snRNA) component of the spliceosome (involved in pre-mRNA splicing). Complementary binding between U2 snRNA (in an area lying towards the 5' end but 3' to hairpin I) and the branchpoint sequence (BPS) of the intron results the bulging out of an unpaired adenosine, on the BPS, which initiates a nucleophilic attack at the intronic 5' splice site, thus starting the first of two transesterification reactions that mediate splicing. NCBI's taxonomy places the organism in Eukaryota, Metazoa, Chordata, Mammalia, Rodentia, Bathyergidae. The record is from Ensembl.